UAGGCGGCCUUUUAGCCAUUGCAUUGUUGAUUUGAUUUCAAGUGUCCCAUGAGUUAAUAAAAGGUCAGAUCGACGAUGUUAUGGUUAAAUCGACGCGUUGGCGUGUGAGUUGCUAAUUGAAUGUUUGUGUUGGCUGGCUCCCUGUUUGCGCAGCGAACUGUCGGCACUUACGUAUUUCAAUCGGGGCGGAUUUGUGCUUGUCUGAUUUUUGUGUUGCCAACCUAGAUGAUGGAAUUUGUGUGGUCCGGAUGUGUGGGUCGCCCGACACCCUUUGAGGUGCUUGGCGACGUUUUAGGCUACCCCUUUUUACGCCAUGCACUCCCUUUAACGGGUACCAUGGAAAAUUGGCGGUGUUGCUUGUUGCCUCGGAUGCAGAUCAUGAAGCGAGCAUGUUGCCUAUCCUCAUUGCUCUUCAGAGCUCUCGAUUGCUCGGAAAGAAAGACCGUUGCGCUUGGUUUUGGCUGUCGACUUGUCGAUCUAGCUCAUAACUUUGCCGACGUCUUCAAUGAAUGCUACCUGGUUGAUCCUGCCAGUAGUCAUAUGCUUGUCUCAAAGAUUAAGCCAUG
RNAcentral lists this unclassified non-coding RNA (566 nucleotides) under Sedum carinatifolium. RNAcentral describes it as "partial contains external transcribed spacer and 18S ribosomal RNA". The stretch from base 514 to 566 matches the Rfam family "Eukaryotic small subunit ribosomal RNA", at positions 1 to 53 of the family's 1831-position model. The record is from RNAcentral. Lineage: Eukaryota; Viridiplantae; Streptophyta; Magnoliopsida; Saxifragales; Crassulaceae.